This 300-nucleotide ribosomal RNA is filed under the name uncultured Lactobacillus sp. Its description in RNAcentral is "bacterial SSU rRNA". It matches the Rfam family "Bacterial small subunit ribosomal RNA", at positions 496 to 795 of the family's 1533-position model. The record is from RNAcentral. Lineage: Bacteria; Bacillati; Bacillota; Bacilli; Lactobacillales; Lactobacillaceae.
GCAAACGGCGGGGAGGGUGCGGCGGGAAUGUGGAGGGGGUGAUCGUUGUCCGGAUGUAUUGGGCGGAAAGAGGGUGUAGGGGGCGAGGUAGGGCCGUGGUGAAAACUCGAGGCUCAACCGCGGGACGUCGGCGGAAACCCUCUGGCUAGAGUCCGGAAGAGGAGAGUGGAAUUCCUGGUGUAGCGGUGAAAUGCGCAGAUAUCAGGAAGAACACCCGUGGCGAAGGCGGCUCUCUGGGACGGUACUGACGCUGAGACGCGAAAGCGUGGGGAGCAAACAGGAUUAGAUACCCUGGUAGUC